This is a non-coding RNA of Pelobates cultripes (western spadefoot toad), 247 nucleotides long. Lineage: Eukaryota; Metazoa; Chordata; Amphibia; Anura; Pelobatidae. The record is from the annotation of a GenBank genome assembly.
CCUGUGUGCACAUCUCUCCAUCACUGGGACUCCAGCACCGAGCACACUGUCAGCUCAUCACUGGGAUUUCCCGAGUACACUGUCAGCUCAUACUGGGACUCCCUAAGUACACUGCCAGCUCAUCACUGGGACUGCCACCUGUAACCUGUGUACACUGUCAGCUAAUCACUGGGGCAUUGGCACUUUGUGUGCACUUUUCUGUAUUGAUCAAAAAAGACUUCAAGCAUCCUGUGUGCACAUAACCCAG